Molecule: ribosomal RNA, 251 nt
Filed under: uncultured bacterium
Lineage: Bacteria
Description: partial 16S ribosomal RNA
Rfam family: Bacterial small subunit ribosomal RNA
Source: RNAcentral
UACGGAGGAUGCGAGCGUUAUCCGGAUUUAUUGGGUUUAAAGGGUGCGUAGGCGGGAUGCCAAGUCAGCGGUCAAAUACGGGGGCUCAACCUGCGUCCGCCGUUGAAACUGGCGUUCUUGAGUGGGCGAGAAGUACGCGGAAUGCGUGGUGUAGCGGUGAAAUGCAUAGAUAUCACGCAGAACCCCGAUUGCGAAGGCAGCGUACCGGCGCCCGACUGACGCUGAAGCACGAAAGCGUGGGUAUCGAACAG